Molecule: ribosomal RNA, 405 nt
Filed under: Candidatus Williamhamiltonella defendens
Lineage: Bacteria; Pseudomonadati; Pseudomonadota; Gammaproteobacteria; Enterobacterales; Enterobacteriaceae
Description: bacterial SSU rRNA
Rfam family: Bacterial small subunit ribosomal RNA
Source: RNAcentral
GAUUGAACACUGGUGGCAGGCCUAACACAUGCAAGUCGAGCGGCAUCGAGUGAGCGCAGUUUACUGAGUUCAUGUCGGCGAGCGGCGGACGGGUGAGUAAAGUCUGGGAAUCUGGCCGAAGGAGGGGGAUAACUGCUGGAAACGGCAGCUAAUACCGCAUGAAGUCGCGAGACCAAAGUGGGGGACCUUCGGGCCUCACGCCUUCGGAUGAGCCCAGAUGAGAUUAGCUGGUAGGUAAGGUAAAGGCUUACCUAGGCGACGAUCUCUAGCGGGUCUGAGAGGAUAGCCCGCCACACUGGAACUGAGACACGGUCCAGACUCCUACGGGAGGCAGCAGUGGGGAAUAUUGCACAAUGGGCGAAAGCCUGAUGCAGCCAUGCCACGUGUGUGAAGAAGGCCUCGGGU